Molecule: ribosomal RNA, 485 nt
Filed under: uncultured bacterium
Lineage: Bacteria
Description: partial 16S ribosomal RNA
Rfam family: Bacterial small subunit ribosomal RNA
Source: RNAcentral
AUUGAACGCUGGCGGCAUGCCUUACACAUGCAAGUCGAACGGCAGCACGGGUGCUUGCACCUGGUGGCGAGUGGCGAACGGGUGAGUAAUACAUCGGAACAUGUCCUGUAGUGGGGGAUAGCCCGGCGAAAGCCGGAUUAAUACCGCAUACGAUCCACGGAUGAAAGCGGGGACCUUCGGGCCUUGCGCUAUAGGGUUGGCCGAUGGCUGAUUAGCUAGUUGGUGGGGUAAAGGCCUACCAAGGCGACGAUCAGUAGCUGGUCUGAGAGGACGACCAGCCACACUGGGACUGAGACACGGCCCAGACUCCUACGGGAGGCAGCAGUGGGGAAUUUUGGACAAUGGGCGAAAGCCUGAUCCAGCAAUGCCGCGUGUGUGAAGAAGGCCUUCGGGUUGUAAAGCACUUUUGUCCGGAAAGAAAUCCUUGACUCUAAUACAGUCGGGGGGUGACGGUACCGGAAGAAUAAGCACCGGCUAACUACGUG